GUAGGAAAAUUUUCAGCACUCAGAUCAGCCGAAAGUGAAUUGGUUCCCGCAAAGAGGUCACAGAAGGCAACAUCGAAGCGCUGAAACGACGCCAAAUAGCAAGAGCCGGCAAAGAUCCGGAAGGCGGCUAGUAUUCGACAUCGAAGAGCACUGAGACGACGUCAGAGUGGAAGGACUCGUGAAGAUUCUCAGGACGACGGCAUUCGACAUUGCAGCCUACAGUCAAUAGCAGCCGUCGGACGGUUUCGCCGAUAUCGAAGCGACUUCUUGCGACAGCCGAUCUAAGAAGGGCACCGACAACCUGUAUCAGAAGAGAGAGAGAGCAUUGUCCUCGAGCAACCACAAAGUGCUACUAGCGGUAGGGAUAAUAUCAGCCAACAGUGAAGCACGUCUAACAUGCUUUCCUUCCAGUACUCAAGCGACGACCGCAUAGAAGCAACCUGUGAGAUUCCGUCCCAGGCAGAGCGUCUUGCAUUCCGCCCGCAGCAAGAACAAAGACCCCUUCCGGAGGGUGAGCCAGUCAUAUGAGACCGCGGUGGACUAAUGUCAGGUGUCCAAUAGGGUCUUUUCUCUUGGCCUAUUUUUGCAGCAUCCUACGUUCCACUGAUCAGGCCGGAUCACCGAACCGAAACGACGGAGAUAAAUCUACGGAGAUCGUCUGGGACCUAGGCGAAGGCCGGUGGUAUAAAUUCGAUCCACGCAUUACUCACGGUGAGGUACAAUGACACUUCCCGGUUGUUAGUUAGCACGGUACGGAGAACAGCGGAGUUUGAUUUGAGCACAGGUGGGAGCGGUAUGGAACUACAGUGAAGUAACAGUGAGUAGUAAGAUUUGAGAAUGUACGAUAGGAAAUGAAGGAAGCGUGGCUAGCAGGAUUUAAGAAUCUACGAUAGG
Molecule: long non-coding RNA, 894 nt
Organism: Topomyia yanbarensis
Lineage: Eukaryota; Metazoa; Arthropoda; Insecta; Diptera; Culicidae
Exons: 3
Source: RefSeq, a predicted model, not a curated record